UCUGCGACAGAGCGAGACCGUGUCAAAAAAAAAAAAAAAAAAAAAGGCUGACUAGAAACAGCUAGUGUGCGCCACUCUCACAAACAGAAGAAAGUGAUCAUCCAGGUGGACACUCUGGGAUUCAGCGAGGAAACAACACAACCCACGGAGAACAAAGACGAGUAAGACAGGAGAGCCUCCCACCAGGAGUGGUACGGAGCCAGGAGAGGCCCCCAACAUGGGGAAAUGGAUCUUUAUUGUCCUUGUGUGCCUUCACUCCAACUCUGAUUAAAAAGGACUCUCUACAGAAGACGUACUACUGGUCACUUACAUUGGUAAGUAAAUUUCAUAAAAACACCUUGACCUGUACAAGCUUUAUAGUUUACAAAUUAUUUUUAUGUAUGUUAUUCCACUAAAUUCCCACAACUCCCUUUUCCAAAUGAGGAAGCUGAGGCUCAGAGUAGUUUGAUAAUUUGUUCAAGAUUGUGCAGACUGAAUACAGUGGAGCUGGGAUUCAAACAGGUUUUCUGUCAAGUUUGGUCAUUUUUUCAUUCUUUUGUUGCUUUGUGUAAAUUUAAGUGUUUGUACUAGCUUUUCCAGGAUUUUCUACGUUUUUGGUUUUAUCUGACAGUCCUUUCCCUGUUAAGAAAAUUUUCAACUACAUGCAACAUUGGAGGUAGGGUCCUUUUUUUUUUUAGAUCUUCCUGAGAAACUCUGAAAUCAUACCAUUGUGGGGAGCUGCCUCUUCCACUUACGUAUAGGUGUGAAGAUCAUCUGAAUGUUUAUUUUGAAACUGGACCCAAGGUCAUUAGCUAUUUUGGGGCUAGUAGUUUUCUCUAAAAUAUUCAACUAUAUUUUACAACAUAUUAGGCUGACUUUUCUCAGCACCUACAUUCUUACGCAAUUUAUAAUCCUUGUGUUUUAGAGGGCUAAGACUGGAUGGAGGUAUGUUUAACUCACAUAUUGAGCUUAUGCUCUAAACUCAAACUCACAGGUGAAACAUUUUAAUAACUGAAUCUUUUCCAGUGGAUGAUUUGAAGAUGUAUCUCAAAGAGAUGAUGUAGGUUACAUAGAAUACAUAUCAAUAUUUUAUUAAAAUUAUUUAUCUUUUAAGGACGAAAAAUGUCGGCAUUAGCAUAGAAUCACCUCUUUAUGAGAUGUAUAUAUUUUAUGAUGAACAGGGGAAAAAAGAGCUUAAAUUGUAUAUUGAAAGUGGGAAAAAUGAAAGUCUAUAGGAGAAUCCUAUAACUUCCUCUUGUCUCUUCCUGGCUAAAACUAAAUACCUAACAUAUGAAAAAAAAA
This 1281-nucleotide long non-coding RNA is filed under the name Homo sapiens (human). RNAcentral describes it as "HSALNT0302588". The record is from RNAcentral. Lineage: Eukaryota; Metazoa; Chordata; Mammalia; Primates; Hominidae.